UUUCCGUAGGUGAACCUGCGGAAGGAUCAUUACAGAGUUCAUGCCCUCACGGGUAGGUCUCCCACCCUUGAAUAUUUAUACCUUAGUUGCUUUAGCAGGCCGUGGAAACACCAUGGGCUCCGGCUUAUGCGUGCCUGCCAGAGGAAACAAACUCUGUUUUUAGUGAUGUCUGAGUACUAUAUAAUAGUUAAAACUUUCAACAACGGAUCUCUUGGUUCUG
This 220-nucleotide unclassified non-coding RNA is filed under the name plant metagenome. RNAcentral describes it as "partial contains small subunit ribosomal RNA, internal transcribed spacer 1, and 5.8S ribosomal RNA". The record is from RNAcentral.